GUCGUAACAAGGUUUCCGUAGGUGAACCUGCGGAAGGUUCAUUAA
This 45-nucleotide ribosomal RNA is filed under the name Panonychus citri (citrus red mite). RNAcentral's name for it is "partial 18S ribosomal RNA". It matches the Rfam family "Eukaryotic small subunit ribosomal RNA", at positions 1788 to 1831 of the family's 1831-position model. The record is from RNAcentral. Lineage: Eukaryota; Metazoa; Arthropoda; Arachnida; Trombidiformes; Tetranychidae.